UCGGAGUGCCUAGUGGCGAAAGCUACGGGCUGAGACCGUUAAUUCGGGAUCCGCGGAACCUGAUCGGGUUAAUACCUGCGAAGGGAACAAGAGUAAUCA
This 99-nucleotide non-coding RNA is filed under the name Providencia stuartii. Lineage: Bacteria; Pseudomonadati; Pseudomonadota; Gammaproteobacteria; Enterobacterales; Morganellaceae. The record is from RNAcentral.